RNAcentral lists this non-coding RNA (30 nucleotides) under Rattus norvegicus (Norway rat). Lineage: Eukaryota; Metazoa; Chordata; Mammalia; Rodentia; Muridae. The record is from RNAcentral.
UCCUUUUGCUUUUAACAAAUCCUUGAGGGC